RNAcentral lists this ribosomal RNA (265 nucleotides) under uncultured bacterium. Its description in RNAcentral is "partial 16S ribosomal RNA". It matches the Rfam family "Bacterial small subunit ribosomal RNA", at positions 793 to 1055 of the family's 1533-position model. The record is from RNAcentral.
GUCCACGCCGUAAACGAUGGAUGCUAGUCGUCGCGGGUAUUGACCCCUGCGGUAACGCAGUUAACGCAUUAAGCAUCCCGCCUGGGGAGUACGGCCGCAAGGCUAAAACUCAAAGGAAUUGACGGGGGCCCGCACAAGCGGUGGAGCAUGUGGUUCAAUUCGACGCAACGCGCAGAACCUUACCUGGGUUAAAUCCACCGGAACUCCGCAGAGAUGUGGAAGUGCCCGCAAGGGAGCCGGUGAGAAGGUGCUGCAUGGCUGUCGU